AAAGAUUGGCGAUCCGUUGGAUACCGACCGAGUUAUAGGCAAAAUUUGGUGCAAAAAUGACCCUUAGUAAAUUUUUAUUGUUUUGAAUUUUUUGAUUUUUUCAUUAUUUUUUACUCUUUUUUUAUUUCAAUCAUUAUUUGAGUGAAAAGAAACUCAUUGCAACCAAUUGGGAUUCAAAUAAAACAGUUUUAUUUUUUUUGCAAAAUUUCUCAAAAAAAACGUAAGGGGUAAGCCUUAUGAAAUUUUCGAGUUGAAAUUUUUUUUUCGAUUUUUUAUUCUUUUUUUAGUUUAAAGCAUUAUUUGAGUGAAAAGAAACAUAUUGCAACAAAUUCCCAUUAAAAUAUAUCACAUUUUUCAAUUUUGCUAAAUUGUUCAAAAACAGGGUAAGGAACUUGGUUCCCUGAAUAACUUCUGGCACAGACAUCUGACGGUAUGGCCGUCCAAGAAGAAAAUGUAGCCAUUGAUGCCAUCUAUCGACCACAGGUUAAAGAUUGGCGAUCCGUUGGAUACCGACCGAGUUAUAGGCAAAAUUUGGUGCAAAAAUGACCCUUAGUAAAUUUUUAUUGUUUUGAAUUUUUUGAUUUUUUCAUUAUUUUUCACUCUUUUUUUAUUUCAAUCAUUAUUUGAGUGAAAAGAAACUCAUUGCAACCAAUUGGGAUUAAAAUAAAACAAUUUUAUUUUUUUUGCAAAACUUCUCAAAAAAAAACGUAAGGGGUAAGCCUUAUGAAAUUUUCGAGUUGAAAUUUUUUUGAAAUUUUUUUUUCGAUUUUUUAUUCUUUUUUUAGUUUAAAGCAUUAUUUGAGUGAAAAGAAACAUAUUGCAACAAAUUCCCAUUAAAAUAUAUCACAUUUUUCAAUUUUGCUAAAUUGUUCAAAAACAGGGUAAGGAACUUGGUUCCCUGAAUAACUUCUGGCACAGACAUCUGAGGGCAUGGCCGUCCAAGAAGAAAAUGUAGCCAUUGAUGCCAUAUAUCGACCACAGGUUAAAGAUUGGCGAUCCGUUGGAUACCGACCGAGUUAUAGGCAAAAGUUGGUGCAAAAAUGGGAAAAAUUUUACAUUUUCUCAAACAGGGUAAGGAACUUGGUUCCUCGAAUAACUUCUGGCACAGACAUCUGAGGGCAUGGCCGUCCAAGAAGAAAAUGUAGCCAUUAAUGCCAUCUAUCGACCACAAGUUAAAGAUUGGCGAUCCGUUGGAUACCGACCGAGUUAUAGGCAAAAGUUGGUGCAAAAAUGGGAAAAAUUUUACAUUUUCUCAAACAGGGUAAGGAACUUGGUUCCUCGAAUAACUUCUGGCACAGACAUCUGAGGGCAUGGCCGUCCAAGAAGAAAAUGUAGCCAUUAAUGCCAUCUAUCCACCACAAGUUAAAGAUUGGCGAUCCGUUGGAUGCCGACCGAGUUAUAGGCAAAAGUUGGUGCAAAAAUGAGAAAAAUUUUACAUUUUCUCAAACAGGGUAAGGAACUUGGUUCCUCGAAUAACUUCUGGCACAGACAUCUGAGGGCAUGGCCGUCCAAGAAGAAAAUGUAGCCAUUGAUGCCAUCUAUCGACCACAGGUUAAAGAUUGGCGAUCCGUUGGAUACCGACCGAGUUAUAGGCAAAAUUUGGUGCAAAAAUGACCCUUAGUAAAUUUUUAUUGUUUUGAAUUUUUUGAUUUUUUCAUUAUUUUUCACUCUUUUUUUAUUUCAAUCAUUAUUUGAGUGAAAAGAAACUCAUUGCAACCAAUUGGGAUUAAAAUAAAACAAUUUUAUUUUUUUUGCAAAACUUCUCAAAAAAAAACGUAAGGGGUAAGCCUUAUGAAAUUUUCGAGUUGAAAUUUUUUUGAAAUUUUUUUUUCGAUUUUUUAUUCUUUUUUUAGUUUAAAGCAUUAUUUGAGUGAAAAGAAACAUAUUGCAACAAAUUCCCAUUAAAAUAUAUCACAUUUUUCAAUUUUGCUAAAUUGUUCAAAAACAGGGUAAGGAACUUGGUUCCCUGAAUAACUUCUGGCACAGACAUCUGACGGUAUGGCCGUCCAAGAAGAAAAUGUAGCCAUUGAUGCCAUCUAUCGACCACAGGUUAAAGAUUGGCGAUCCGUUGGAUACCGACCGAGUUAUAGGCAAAAGUUGGUGCAAAAAUGGGAAAAAUUUUACAUUUUCUCAAACAGGGUAAGGAACUUGGUUCCCUGAAUAACUUCUGGCACAGACAUCUGAGGGCAUGGCCGUCCAAGAAGAAAAUGUAGCCAUUAAUGCCAUCUAUCGACCACAAGUUAAAGAUUGGCGAUCCGUUGGAUGCCGACCGAGUUAUAGGCAAAAGUUGGUGCAAAAAUGAGAAAAAUUUUACAUUUUCUCAAACAGGGUAAGGAACUUGGUUCCUCGAAUAACUUCUGGCACAGACAUCUGAGGGCAUGGCCGUCCAAGAAGAAAAUGUAGCCAUUGAUGCCAUCUAUCGACCACAGGUUAAAGAUUGGCGAUCCGUUGGAUACCGACCGAGUUAUAGGCAAAAGU
Long non-coding RNA from Anopheles funestus (African malaria mosquito), 2478 nucleotides. RefSeq lists it as uncharacterized. The transcript has 4 exons. Lineage: Eukaryota; Metazoa; Arthropoda; Insecta; Diptera; Culicidae. The record is from RefSeq and is a predicted model, not a curated record.